CCGCCAGAGUGGGUCAAAGUGGCAGCUCGCCGCGCUGCUCAGCCCUGGGGUCCCUCUCCCCACUCAGGCGGCCGAAGGUCAGAGUGGGAAAAACUGGCAGCCCGCCGCGCUGCUCUGCCCUGGGGGACCCACGCCCACUCAGGCGGCCGCCCACCACAGUGGGUCAAAGUGGCAGUCUGCUGCCCCGCUCAGCCCUGGGGGGGCCCCCACUCGGGCGGCCGAUGGCGCAAGUGAGUAAAGUAAAAGUGGCAGCCCGCCGCGCCGCUCAGCCACGGGGCCCCCACUCAGGCUGCAGACUGUGUAAAUGGCAGCCCCUGUGGCUGGGAAGUGCUUUGCAUCUACAGAAGCCUCUGGAACUAGGGCUAUGUUCUAUAUAUUAUACAGAAUCCAG
This 391-nucleotide long non-coding RNA is filed under the name Equus caballus (horse). RNAcentral's name for it is "lncRNA (ENSECAG00000041615.2)". Lineage: Eukaryota; Metazoa; Chordata; Mammalia; Perissodactyla; Equidae. The record is from RNAcentral.